RNAcentral lists this unclassified non-coding RNA (238 nucleotides) under uncultured fungus. RNAcentral describes it as "partial contains 5.8S ribosomal RNA, internal transcribed spacer 2, and large subunit ribosomal RNA". The stretch from base 1 to 52 matches the Rfam family "5.8S ribosomal RNA", at positions 103 to 154 of the family's 154-position model. The record is from RNAcentral. Lineage: Eukaryota; Fungi.
AACGCACAUUGCGCCCCCUGGUAUUCCGGGGGGCAUGCCUGUUCGAGCGUCAUUACACCCCUCAAGCUCUGCUUGGUAUUGGGUCCCGCCGUUUCCGGCGGGCCUUAAAAUCAGUGGCGGUGCCACCUGGCUCCAAGCGUAGUAAUUUUCUCGCUACGGGGCCCGGGCGUGUACCGGCCAGCAACCCCCCACUUUUCAGGUUGACCUCGGAUCAGGUAGGGAUACCCGCUGAACUUAA